ACUUGCUUCAGCAGGAUAUUUACUGAAAUUGGAACAAUACAGAGAAAACUAGCAUUGCCUAUGCACAAAGAUGACAUGCAAAUUUGUGAAGCAUUCUAUAUUUUU
Molecule: small nuclear RNA, 105 nt
Organism: Phacochoerus africanus (Common warthog)
Lineage: Eukaryota; Metazoa; Chordata; Mammalia; Artiodactyla; Suidae
Source: RefSeq, a predicted model, not a curated record